Molecule: ribosomal RNA, 440 nt
Filed under: uncultured bacterium
Lineage: Bacteria
Description: bacterial SSU rRNA
Rfam family: Bacterial small subunit ribosomal RNA
Source: RNAcentral
GACGAACGCUGGCGGCGUGCUUAACACAUGCAAGUGGAGCGACGAACCGGGGCUUGCCCCGGGGCAGAGCCGCGAACGGGUGAGUAACACGUGGGUAACCUGCCUCAAUGAUUUGGACAACCCCGGGGAAACUCGGGCUAAUACCAAAUGUGUUCACUCCUUCUAAGGGGAGUGAGGAAAGGAAGCUUCGGCCUCCGCAUUGAGAUGGGCCCGCGGCCCAUUAGCUUGUUGGUGAGGUAACGGCUCACCAAGGCUUCGAUGGGUAGCUGGUCUGAGAGGACGAUCAGCCACACUGGGACUGAGACACGGCCCAGACUCCUACGGGAGGCAGCAGUGGGGAAUCUUGCACAAUGCGCGAAAGCGUGAUGCAGCAACGCCGCGUGGGGGAAGACGGCCUCCGGGUUGUAAACCCCUUUCAGUUGGGACGAAGCUUCGUCGGU